GGUUGAGAUCUUCAGUAUCUUUAGAAUCUUUAGAGUCUUCAGAAUCCUCAGUCAAAACCUUAAUAACUUCAAUCGUCUGGUUUGAGAUCUUCCGAAUCUUCAAUUACACAACACAACUUCAUAAGCUUGCCAUUCGUCAGAAGUUUGGUGAUCAGAGCCACGUCCAGUAGCAUGAACUAUGAGAACAUUACAGCAGCAACAUAGUCUCUCCUCAUAAGCUUCUGAUGAGUGAGACAACACAGAAGCAGAAAGACAUUGCAGUAGAAAUAUUGACGUCUUUCAGAACAUCUAAUAAUUGGCGCAAAAGCAUAUUUGGAACACGUAGUUCAGAAAUUGAUGACGUUGCACAUCAUAUAUCCAUAAUCAGAACUGGUUGUUAAAGCUACACAAUAAUAAACCAUUAGGGUACCAAAAUUGUUCUCACACAAAUACAAUAUUGUUAUCAUCAAAACUCAAGGUAUAGAUGCAUAACCAAAUCUUGUGCUAACAAUCUCCCCCUUUUUGAUGAUGACAAAACAUGUAUUUUGAUGAACAUUUUUGUACAUGAUAAUCAUAGAAUAAUACAUCUUACAAAAUCACAAAGCUCCCCAUGAGAUGUAGAAUCCUAUAAAGAUAAAAUCAGAAUGAAAGAACACUUUCCUGAUUAACCUUUUUGAAAUACCAGAGUGAAUAUUCUGUCAGAAUUUGGUUUAUCUUCAGAAGUUAAUUGAUGUUGUCCAAAGCACUGGUUUGAUGACAUUAUCAUUCUGAUAGGCUUCACUUCAGAAGAUUCCUUGAAUUCUUUAGAAGAAAGUUUAAAACUGGUUAUCUUCUUUAAAAGAGCAGGUUUUCUUAUUAGAACCUUGACUUUUCAAGUCUAAUUACUAUAGAAGAAAAUAUCUCUUAGCUGGAUUCCAAAUCCAUGAUUAUCAGAAAGAACAUAUUCUGAACCAUUCUAAUUCUUGAGGAAUGACCCUACAAAACACUCAACAAACUAUUAUUUGAAGUAGUUGUUAGCAGAAAGCAUUAAUCAAUGUUUGGGUUUUUAAUUAAGGAAAUUAUAUAUAAAAAUAAACACUAAUUCUUCCCCUUUAGAAUGUUAUGUUUUCUCCCCCUUCGUCAUCAAUCAAAAAGACAUAAGACAAAAAAUAAAUGAAGAGAAACAAACAUUUUUCAUUGAAAAAUUGCCACAGAAGCUUCAGAGACGACAAUCUGAGUAACAACUUCUUCCAUAGCACAAUCUUGAGGUUCAAAAGCAACAUCAACUUCUGGAGCAGACUCAAGGUGUUGAGCAAUCUCUAUUUCUGGAGCAGCUGGAGCAGCUUCUUCUUCCAUAACCUCAGGAGUCGCUUCCUUGAUUUCUGGAGCAGGAAGACAAAGUUGGGAGUUUCUUAACUUCUAGAGUUCCAUUAAGGGAAUGAAACCAUAACAUAAUUUUACUUCAACAAGAGUGUACCCAAAAUCCUUCAACUUAGAAAUCUUGGAGUUCAUCCAGCUUCUGUAAGCUUCCCAUGUUGAAUCACUAGCAGUCGGAUUUUCUGAAGAACGACUGACAGUCAUUGCUUCAUGCAAACGGAUUUUAGAUUCUGACUCAAAUUUCCUCAGAACCUUACCAAAGUUAGAGGAGGAUUUUUUUGGUUGUUUGGGGUAUUUAACUGUAAGUUUGAUUUUAGACUCAUCAAAGUCAGGACAAAAUACAGAAGGAAAUCAUGGGACAAUAAUGGAAAGUGAUUCAUGAUCAGGAGACGUUGGUUCGGGUUCAAAUUUAAACACUCCUUCAGGAGUUCCAUCAGAAACGUGUCCAUCUGAAACUCUUGAGAGAGAUGUUCUGGGGGUUAUUAUAUUUGGAUUUGUUGGUUUGGAAGCAGAAAUACAUGGUGGUGAGAUGGGUGAAUUUUGUAACUGUGGAGGAGAUGGUGGUGGUGGUAUUUGUUGUUGUUCUGACAAAGGUUCAGAAACUAAAGGAGUUUCUAUGAUUGAAAUGAUAAAGGUUGAUUGAGGUGGUGAAAGUGGGAUAGGUUCAGAAACUAUUGGUUGAAAUGAAGGAUGAGGUUGGAUUGGUAAGAUCCUUUCAAAAAGAAUUGAAUCGAAAUUAAAUUGAGUGUUAUAAGAAGGAAGCUUACCAGAUGUUACAUCAUAAGCUCUUGAAGAAGACUGUACGACUCCAGAAGUAUCCUUCAAAAUCAUUGCCUUCUUGCGCUCACUUAGAGGCACCUCGUCUUCAUCCAGAAAGACAACAAUCUUCUUCUUCUGAGCCCUAGAAGAUCCUUCGCCUUUAAAUUCCUCCUUUCCCUUCCCACGAGCAUUAGGGCAAGUCUCAGGAAGGUUGAAUGGAUCCACCAAUAGGCCAAGUCCAUCCUUCAGACAGCUUUCCAGAUAUGCCAUCAGAACCUGCGGAGGGUCGACCUUGGUGAAGAUUGGGUAGUCAUCUAUAUGAUUUCUUGUACCACAAAUAUCAUCCUUAGAAAGAAUUAAAUUUGGUCUUUGAUUUCUAGAUAUGAGCCCCAUACACUUCAGAUUCUUUCCCUAGAAUACCUUUCCAACAUCCUUCACCAGUUCUUCUGUCAAUCCACUAACUAGAAGGUCAUCUAUUAAACCAUUUUCCACAAGAAUGUCAGACAUUAGUAUGUCGUUAGGAAUGAAAAUUCUCUUUGUCUUCUUAGAAGAACCACCAGUUCUGGAUUCUCGGAUAGAACCCCUCAUGAACUUGAACAAAAUGGAAGGAAGUCCCAGCUUGACACCCUUCUCCAAACAAAAUAACAUGAACUUCUGAUGAGUGUUGAUGUAGUCAGGCCUAUUUAUGCUAGGCCUGUGGUAAAUACAACCCAAAAUAAUCUUGAACCAAACUCUUAGAUUCCUAGUCAAGUCAUUAGCACUAGGACCUUUGUCAUCUUCAAAGUUUGUUUCAUCCUUGAAGAUAGCUGGAGAAAUGGCAGCUUCUCUCUUAGUGGUGAUCUUAGCACUGCGUAUCCUUUUCCCUUUACCAUCAUGAGAGAUAAGAUUAACUAUGGACUUCUCAAUAAUAACUAUUUUCCAAUUCAUGACAUAGUAAGAAAUAGUUUCCUUUUCAACAGUUGCAUGCACCCAAAACUGCUUAACGAGAACUGGAUAAAUUGGGCUUGUGAGUCUCUCGAAGAAUGUUUUCUAACCUUGAAGUUCCAAGGUUUCAGUGAAAUCAAAACCGUUUUCCUUUAAAAAUUUUAAAUCAAUGAUGGUUUCGCAUAACACCAUUAACUCGUUGACAGGAGUAUGAAUAGUCAAUUCAGAUAUCCCUUUCAAGGUGGGGCUAUUUUCAGUUACCUUUGAAGAACUUGAAGAGUAUUGUUGUUGUUUAGCCAUUUGAAGAAGAUAAAGAUGAAGAACAGUUACAGAGAGAAAGGGUUAUUUUUAGGUUUGAAAAUUGAAAGUGUGGGAGUAAUGUGCGCGUAGUGUGAAAAUGUGAGUGAAGUGGGUUUAUAUAGAAAAUUUUGCAAUGAUGACAAAAAGGGAAUAUGCAGUCAUAGGGGGAAGCGUAAGAGUUUAAACCUAAUUCCAAGAAUCGUUAAACCCAAUGUGUCACGCUUUUAUCAUGCAUUCUCAAAAAUUGGGACAAUCGUCGCCACUAAGAACCACAUGAAAUCAAACGACAAGACAACCAUUUAAUGCAGCAACUGUUCAGAAUCAUGAAAACAAAUCAAUAAGAUUGUUUUUGAUAAUAACCUUUCUGAUUCAUGAAAACUUUGUUACUUCAGAAAGCUCAUGUUUCAUAGUCAAAAAGAAUAACACUCUCAGAAUCUAAUCUAGAGUUCUGAAGACUUAAACAUUCUAAAUACAUCUUUUCAUUCUGGACAUAAUUUCAUAAAUAAGUUUUUCAGAAUGAACACGAAUCUAUCUUUGGCAAGGGGUGUCGUAAAGAUAUAAGCCCAUUGAUGAUCUGUAUCAGCAAAUUUUAAAAUUUAAAUUUCCUUCUGAACAUAGUCACGUAAAAAGUGAUGUUUUAUUUCAAUAUGCUUAGCCCUAUAAUGCAAGAUAUGAUUCUUAGAAAAACAAAUAGUAAAGAUAUAACCCCAUUGAUGGUCUGUAUCAACAAAUUUUAAAUGAAAAUUUUCCUUCUGAACAUAGUCAUGUAAAAAGUGAUGUUUUAUUUCAAUAUGCUUAGCCCUAGAAUGCAAGAUAUGAUUCUUAAAAAAACAAAUAGAAGAAGUAUUAUCAUAGAGAAUAAGAAUGUUACUCUCAGAUAUCUGAUAAUCUUCCAGGUGAAUCUUCAUCAAGAGUAUCUGAGUGUUGCAUCUAGAAGUUGAAAUGUAUUCAACUUCGGCAAUUGAACGUGCAAUUGUUGUCUGUCUCUUACUGGACCAUGAGAUCAAGUUAUCUCCUAGAAAUUGGAAACUUCCAGAAGUACUUUUUAUUUCAAUUCUGUCUCCAGCAUAGUCAACGUCAUAAUAGCCUACUAAUUUACACCCACUUGAUUCCCAGAAAGAACUUAAGUUCUCCCAUCAGACUCAUUUCAAAUUUUAUCUGCAUAGACUUAACAAAAUCCAUGCACAACAAUGCAUUAGCAUAACCAAAAAUAAUAUCAUCAACAUAAAUUUGCACAACCAAAAUAUAAUUCUUAAAGGGUUUGCAAAAGAGAGUUGUGUCCAUUUUCCCUCCGGUAAAAUCAUUUUCCAAAAGAAAGUUGCUUAGUCUAUCAUACCAAGCUCUAGGAGCUUGCUUCAGACCAAACAAAUAUUUUUUCAGUUUAAAAACAAAAUCAGGAUUUUGAGAACUUUCAAAACCAUGAGGUUGACGCACAUAUACUUCUUCAGAAAUAUAUCCAUUCAGGAAUGCACUCUUAACAUCCAUGUGAUAAAGGAUGAUGUUAUGAUUGACUGCAAAAGAAAUUAAAAGAUAAAUAGACUAUAACUUGGAAAUUGGAGCAAAGGUUUUUGUAGAGUUUAUACCUUCUUGCUGACUAUAACCUAGUGCUACCAUUUGAGAUUUAUUUCUGACAACCUCGGUUUUCUCAUUCAGCUUGUUUCUGAAGACCCAUCUGGUUCCAAUGACAUGGAAACCCUUUGGCUUCUGAACAAGAUCCCAAACAUCAUUUUUGGUGAAUUGAUUCAAUUCUUCUUCCAUAGCCAAAAUCCAUUCAUUAUCCAGAAGAGCUUCAUCAAUUGAUGUGGGUUCUAUCAGAGACACCAAAAUGUUACCAAUGGCUCCAGAGCCAGUGAUCUUUCCGUUCUGGUUUCCUCCGAAACCAACUAAGCCUCCAGGCUUAAGUUCCAAGUCUUGGAACAUAAGCCUUCUAUCUGUCAUAUGUCGCAAGUAUCCACUCUCCAGGUACCAUGAUUGGUGUUUCAGCUGAGCUGUUAAGGAUGUCUGCAACAUAAAUUAUUUUAUCCUUAGGUACCCACUUUUUGGGUCCUCUUUUGUUAGUUUUUCCAGAGUUUCUUACAACUUUGGGUCUUUUAGCAGAAGGAUAAUCAUGAGAUAUUUGUGCAUGAUACUUAGGUUUCAGAACAAAGUUCUUAUCCUUAGUAUGCUUCUGUGUCUGUGCAGAAGUAUCAAGCUCAAUGCUAGCAGGCAUGAAAUGCACAUAGAGAGGUUUUGGUUUGACCUUCUGACUUUCGUCAAGUUUUAUAGAUUUUGUACAACCUAAACCUUUCCUUCCAUUUCUGCUAACUCCAUAGAUCAAGGAAGCCAUUUUGCUUCUAUUUAUGCUUUUAUCCAAAAAGUACUGGAAUGCUCUGUCGUAUCUGAUGAUGCAAUCAGUAUCAGACGCUUCUGAAAUUAUUUCCUCCUCUAGUUUUUAAAUUUUGCUUUUCAAAGCAGAGUUGUUACUUUCUAAAGAAAAUACCUUUUCAUUUAGAGAGGAAAUAUCUUUCUCAAGCUCUAUCUGAGUUUCAGAAGUAAUUGCUUGGAAUUAUUUAAGGUCCUUGUAUUUACUCUGAAGACUCUGGCACUUUUCCAGUAUUUUAGAAAGACGUGAUUCAAUAUUAGAACGAGAUAGGUUAGAAAAUACCUCUUCAGAAUUGGAGUCAGAUUUUGAUUCUGAUAAUACCUUGUCUUCUGGUUCUUCAAAGCUUGUGGGAUCCUUUGUGGUUUCCAUAAGUCAACAUUGGCUUUUUCUUUGUCAGAAUCUUCUUCUUCAGAUUCUGAGUCAUCCCAGGUAGCCAUCAUCCCCUUCUUAACGUUGGAGAAGUUCUUUUUGGGCCUUAUGUCCUUCUUCAGCUUUGGAUAAACAUUUUUAUAGUGGUCUGGCUCCUUGCACUUGAAGCAUAUAACUUCUUUUCUAGAACCUUGCUUCUUUUGUCCAGAAGAAGAAUCGAAGCGACCAACAGUCCUUCUGACUCCUCUGAACUUCCCUUGACCAUUUUGUCUAUGUUUCCAGAGUCUGUAGACUCUCUUUGAGAUUAGAGACAGUCCAUCAUCAUCAUCUGAGUCUUCAUCAGAUCCUUUUAAUUCUUCCUUAGCUUGAUAGGCUCUUGUCUUCUCAGGCUUAGAUUUUAGAGCAACAGGUUUACCUCACUUUUGAGGUUCAUCUUCUUCUAUCUCAAUCUCAUGACUUCUUAAAGAACUAACAAUUUCUUCAAGACUGAUGUUGUUUAGAUCCUUUGUCAGCUUCAAGGCAAUUACCAUAGGUCUCCAUUUUUGGGGAAGACUUCUGAUAAGUUUCUUGACAUGAUCAGUUGUAGAAUACCUUUUGUCCAUAAGUUUAAGUCUUGCGACAAGCAUCUAAAACCUUGAGAACAUAGUCUUUACUCUUUCAUCAUCUUCCAUUUUGAAUGCAUCAUAUUUCUGGAUUAAGGCCAAAGCCUUUGUCUCCUUUACUUGAGCAUUUCCUUCAUGAGUCAUCCUCAGAGAGUCAAAGAUAGAUUUGGCAGAAUCUCUGUUUGUUAUCUUCUCAUACUCCGUAACAGAUAGCAUUAAGAAAUAUGGUUUUGGCCUUAUGAUGAUUUUUAAAGUCUUUCUUCUGUUGAUCAGACAUAGCACUUCUUACUAAAGUAUUUCCUUCAGCAUUUACUGGGUGAACGUAACCAUCGACUACAAGAUCUAGAGAUCAACAUCAUAACCAAGAAAGAAACUUUAUAUUUUGUCUUUCCAAUAGUCAAAUUUCUCACCAUAAGAAAUAAGUGGUUUUGCAUUGUAAUGAUCUCUAUCAUUAUUAACAAUGUUAGCAACAGUCAUUGUUUCUCACAACUGGAUCGGUACUGAACAUUGUGAGGUGUUGAUAAUUUUUUUAUCACAAUCAGAACUAGAGCUCUGAUACCAAUUGAAGGUGUGAAAACACAAGAAAGGGGGGGGGGGUUGAAUUGGGUUUUAAGAGCAAAAGAUUUUUCCAAAACAAGAACACCACUAACAAGUUAAUAACAAAGAGAUAAAAACAGAAGCAUUUUUAUCCUGGUUCGCUUGAAACUCAAAGUUAAUCCAGUCCAUACGCCAAGGUGAUUUUUCCUUAUACACAAGGACUUAAUCCACUAUAAUCAACAGAUUACAACAAACACAAAGAAUAACCUUCUUUGUCUUCUCAAGGAUCCAACUAAACCUUAGUCUUCUUAAGGACUCACAAAGAACAACUUUCUUUGUCUUCUCAAGGAUAACCUCCUUAAGGAAUCAAACAAAUAGUUUGAAUAAUAUUUUGUGUUACAAGAUACUUCUACACAAGCAGAUUUUACACAAAUGAAUAACAAACACUUAAAGAAAAAUUGUAUACAAAAGAAUGAUAGAUUUUCACAAAGAAAAUAACUUGUCAAAAUAUUUGUGUAACCGGUGUUUUUCUUCAAGUCUCCAAGUCAUACAUAUAUAGCAUAAGCAUAAUACCGUUAGAGGGCAAAAUGGGGAAAGCUCAUUUGAGCGACUGUCCACUGUGUUGGUGUAAGCCCUAGAGGCCAAUACUUUUGGUACUUGUAUCGAAUUAUUUAUUAAUAAUAAAAGGCUUUUUCUUUAUUACGUUUGUUUAAUAAAGUCCCUAGAAUAGCUAGUCUGUUAUGUACCAAGUAUGACUUAUCAUGAGAUCACAUUAAACAUAAGGACACUAUUCUUAAAGUAUCCGUAGUCGAGCUUUAGUGUGAAGUGGAAACAUUGAAGCAUUAAGACUAUUAUGUUUGUAGACUGAUGAUCCACAUCUCAUGGAUCAUGGAUAAAGAGUUAUCAAGUCUUAAACAUAGGUAUGAAUAUUAAGAGUAAAUUUGUACCGGAUUGACCCGCUAUGAGAAUACUAAUUAGAAAGUUAUGCAAGGUGUCAUAAGUUAUUCUCAUGGUGAAAUAGUGUAUUCCACUCUUCGACUGAAACCACUAUGGAUCCUAGAUGUAGAGUCGAGUGCUUUAUUGCUGAUCCACGUUGUCCGUAACUAGAUAACCAUAAGACCAGUUAAUGGGUACUCCACAAAGCAUGCUGAGGGACAUGAGUGUCCUAGAUGGAAUUUGCCCAUCCUGCGUAACAGGAUAAAUGUCUAUGGGCCCAAUAUUGAACUGAACAAGGAUGACACUGGUCUAUGCCUUGUGUUCAAUAUAGACAUAGGGCAAAAGGGUAAUUAUACACAUAAUUAUUAUCACAGAAAGGUUUUGUCAGAUCACAUGACAUUUUCGUGUCUUGGGUAAGGCAGAUGUGUUGCUAGAUUACCGCUCACUGUUAUUAUAUUAAAUGUGUGAUUUAGUAUAAUUGCCAACGUCACGAAAACCUACAGGGUCACACACAAAGGACGGAUUGAUGAGAGAUAGAGUAACUAAGGAAUACCGUAAGGUACGGGCCCUUAAGUGAGUUAUAGAACAUCGUAAGGUACGGUGUCUUGAGUAGAAAACGAAUAUGGUAAGGUACCAUGAGCUUAAGUGAUUUUGGGCAUGUUAUAAGAUAUGGGCCAAAAUACACUUAAAGUGGGCUUUUAGCUUGAAGCCCACACAAGUGGUUCUAUAAAUAGAACCCUUGUGCAGAAGCAAAAAUUUGCGGUUGCAUUAUUUUCGUUCUAUCACUUUUCUCUCUCUCACUCAAAGCCUUCAUUCGUACCAGCUAGCACAGCGAGAUUGAAGGAACCGUUCUUGUGGACUGAGUAGAGACGUUGUCAUCGUUCAACGUUCGUGAUCGCUUCGGGAUUUGCAUCAAAGGUUUUGAUCGUCACAAGAGACUGCACCAAAGGUUUCUACCGUCACAAGAGGUAAAUAUUCUAUCACUAAUCAUGACCAUUCGUAAGGAUCUCUAAAGGAGAAAAUUUAAAUUCUCGCUGUGCUUUGGGUCGCAAUUCUCCUUCAGUGGUAUCAGAGCCACUACAAACCAUGACUCGGAUAGCUGUUUACUUUCUGUAUAAUAUGAUUAAAAGACAGAAUGAAUCAUUAAUUAAACGAGUAAUUAAAUUUGGCAUCAUGAGUGUACGAGUUGGAUGAUUGAUGUUGACUAUGCUUCGGAAUCCGACAUUAGUAUGGUGAAGCAGCGAUAAUCGAUCAUCCAUAGGUUACGCAAUUGAGACCGAUCAACUUAUAUAUGAUAAGUAAUCCUAAUGCAAAAUACGGUAUAAUGUGAUAUACUGUUUCUGUUUCGUUCAUUCGAACACUAAAUGAUGUUUUCCUUUGAGCGAUCAAUGGCAUUUGCUUCGAAUCCGACAUUAGUAUGGUGAAGCAAUGACCUGUGAUCAAUCAUAUUGAAUCAACAAUCGAGGUUGUUUGACGGUCUGAAAUUGGCGCAUUAGGUUGGGACGGCACAAGGGUUGUGCGUCAAGGAGUUGUGAAUUUAGGGCUUUUUUUGGAAGAGGUCCGUAGACUGUUUCAAAAGUCCUAUUAGUUUGGCCGCGUGAAGCUCGUGUGCGAGCGUAACAGGCGUAACAAACUGGAUGCGUGACGGUCGUAACAACCACCAUGACGGUCGUCACACUCACAUUGCCUGUGACGGUCGUCACACCGCUGUGAGCGGUCGUCACACUCCAGAGUCAAAUAUUUGGGGUUCCUGUUUUGUGACUACGCCAAGGGUGUGUCAUGCAAAACAAUGUUCCAUUUCAAUGAAUUGUUCAUUAAAAAUUUGGACAGGGGCGCUGCCCUCCAACCCCGCAAGGGCGCUGCCCCUUGACCCCGUCCGCUGACGGGCAGCGGGACCCCCGGCUAACUCUGCGUAGUGAUCGGUCGCCGAAAUUUAAUUUGGUUUUAAUUAAUUAAAGGAAUUAAAAUUUAAUAAUAACAAUGUGUUUAUUAUUAUUGCCUUGUGGUGAUCAGUUAUGGCCUUAGUUGUUCUUAUUUUUUUGGGUUUUUAAAUACGACCUGCGUGUCGUGCCUCUCCUUUUGAUCUCUUCAUGUAAUUCUUUUCUCAUCUCCCCUCGUAUGUAAAACGAGUUUCUCUGUAAUGUAAUGAUAUGAAGAAAGAAAGAAUUCAUAUCAAAGGAAGAAAGAGAAGAAAUUCAAUAUCAAAGGAGAAUAAUGAUAUGAGAAAGAGAAAGAAUUCAAUAUCAAUGGAGGACAACCCUUGAAUGAUCUUGCUUGGAGAAGCUUAGAUCGUUAUAGGUUAGCUUAGGUUCUCUCAUUGGCUUGGGAGAACAAUUGCGCUAGGCAUAACUGUUUCAUUUGUUUGUAUGUAUGUUGAUGCAUGUUGAUGUAUGUUGACUGCAUGUGAGAGACAAUUUAUAUGAAAAACAACAAGCCGGUGAGAUCAUAACAAUUGCAAUUCCCUCAAACUAAAAAUAUUAAGUUUAUGCUUUCCAAGUUUUUUAGCACUCAUCAAGACUAGUAUCCGGAUAAUGUAGUUUCGCCAAAGCGAGGUGCAUGUUCUAUAUUAGUAAGGUGCGAUGGGGAUAAUUGUAAUAUCCAACUGCAAAACAAUGGUCAAACUUAACUAAACAAUUAUGAUGAUAUUAUAGUUGUUUGUCUUUCCAAGUUUUAGCACAUCAAGACUAGUAUCGGAUAAUGUAGGUUCGCCAAAGCGAGGUGCAUGUCCUAUAUUAGUAAGGUGCGAUGGAAUAAUUGUAAUAUCAACUGCUAAGACAAUGGGUCAAACUUAAUUAUAAUAUAUCAUAUAUGUUUUAGAAGCAUGAGUUGGGAAUAAUCAUAUGAAUGGAUUGGAAAUAAGGAUAUUCAUCACCCAACUGAAAUUUUCGAGAGUUGUAUGAGAUACAACUAGAAGGAGUUCCUACCUAAUACCUAGUUUUUGUGUAAUCCGUUACGCUGGACUUAGAACGAAGUGAACAUAUGGAUCUCGACCUCACUAGAAAAUCUUCAACGGAUUUUCCGAAUCAAAUGAUGAGGGUCAUUUGUUUUGAGUAAAAUAGUGGAGCAUAUUUUGUUAAAGGCCCUAAUUAAAAUAUGUCAUGAAUACUUAUAUAUUCUUAUUCUUAUGUAGAUUACCAUGACAACAAAACCUCUAACAACAUCUUGCGAUCAAUUCCUUGACAAGGAAAUAUUGUCCUGGGACAAAUAUUCCUGGAUUGGCACCGCGAACCUGAGGACUGUCCUCAAACAUGAUAUAAAAGCUGUAUUGUCUUGGAGACUCCUGUUCUCGAAGAGGAAACCUCCUAGUUAUGCACCUAAGGCAGAAAGAAUGCUUAUAGAAGCAUUCGAGAUGCCAAUGAAAACUGCUUGUCUCAUGCUAGCUACCAUGGAACUCUCAGAAUUGCAAGCAACUAUAGAACAUGUCAGCGUUCGAUAUGAUCGAACACACUGAGUUGCCUAUUCAAGAGCAAGCAAGGCAUGAAAGGUUUUGAGUUUCAAAAGCCCUUUUUCAAGCAGUAUAGCUGAGGGAGCCUUAAGUCCGCCAUUGCUCAAGAUGAAUUGGUAUGUUGGAAAACCUUGAAAGGUUGGUUUUCCCUCGGAAAGGAACUUGCGACUGAUUUGAUCUUGUCAUCGUUGUCAGAUAGAUUCAGUCAAUUUGUCCUAAAUUUCAAUAUGAAUGAUAUGGAAUAAAUCUCUUUCCUGGACUGCUAGGCCAGUUAGAAUAGCUGAACAGGAACUGAAGACAAAGGGAAGUCAUUCUGUGAUCAGAUGGAAGAGCAGAACAAAAGCGCCACCAAGCGGUGAAUAUAAGGGAAAGGCAAGGAAGUUGCCCAACCCAGACCCACUGUUGCUGCUUGAAGCUACUGGAGGCAAGCAAAGCAGGCACCCUCUGCUUCCUUGCGGCUAAGACCCGACACUGGAGAGAGAAAUCCAAAGACUGGAAGAAACGAAAAUGGGAGGUAGAGACUCAACUCCUCAGAUUUUUGUUAUUGAAAUAAGUCUAUUCUACCUUCUCAUCAUGGAAUUUAGAUAUCUGGAUGCGUCUCACAUUGUACAAAAUGUGCAGGGGCUAAAAAGAAGUAGAGAUUUGGCAAAGGUGAAGUGGUGACCUACAGUUGGCAAGAGCCAAAGGUUGCUGCUUUAGCCGUAGGAAACUUAAUGUAUAACUUACCUAGUGGUUUAAUAAUUCAGUUAGAGAACUGUUAUUAUGUACCUGCAAUGUAGCAGGAGUAUAUUCCAUUUCUUGUUUGGACAAGUUUGGUUUUUUCAUAAUAAUAAAGAACAACUGUUGCUCAAUUUAAUUUGAAGUGAUAUAUUCUAUGCUACUGCACAAAUGAGCAAUGGACUGUAUGUCCUUGAUUCUCAGAAUAUGCCUAUAUAUAACCAUUAAUAUAAAGGAUGAAACCUAACGAGUUAAAUCCAACUUACCUUUGCAUUGUCGAUUAGGCCACAUAAAUGUAAAACGCAUUUCCAAACUCCAUAAAGUAUGGACCUUGGCCUUUUGAUUUAUGAAUCCUAUGAGAACUGCAGAUCUUGUUUAAUUGGAAGAUGAAAAUGUCUCCCAUUCACAGGAAAAGGUGAAUGAAGCUAAUGAAUCUUUGGCCGCUCAUAAUACUGAAUGUAGUGUGGACCACUGAACAUCGGCGCAGAGGAAGUUUUCAGUACUUCAUCACUCACUGAUGAUGUCGUAGAUAUGGGUUAUUGUGUAUUUAAGUGAAACACAAUCAGAGUUCCUUUGAAAAGUUCAAGGAAUCAGCAUGCCUAGUACAAACCAACUAGGUAAGAAUAUUAAAACUCUCGAUCAGAUCGAGGUGGUGAGUAAUUUAAGCCUAAGAGUUGAUGACCAUACAUGCUGAAAGAUGUGUGGGAUCCUAUCCAGACUUACUCCUCCUGGAACACCCCAAAUGGAAUGGUGUAUCUGAGAGAAUAAAUCGAACCCUGUUAUACAUGGUCGAUCCAUCGAUGAGUUCACGCCGAUCUUCCAAACUCCUUUUGGGACAGCACUUAUUGACAAGCAGCUUACUACACUUAACGCGUGUUCCAUCCAAAAAGGUUGAGAAGAACACCAUAGUGAGAUAUGGAGUGAUAAGAAACAAUAUGUCCUUAACAUGAAAGAUUUGGGUUGCGAGGUUUUAUGUGAACGACAAAUUUUCAAACUAAGCUUUGAGCCCGAAAUCUGACAAAUGCUUAUUUGUGGGGUAAAUCCUAAAGAAACAAAAGGGUAUUACUUCUUACAGGAUCCUUCUGAGGCAAGAGUGUUUUUGUCGCUCGAACGUGGAGUUUCCUAGAAAAGGAUUUUAUGUUUCAAAGGAACCAGUGGGAGGAAGUAGAGCUGAAGAAUUCAAGAAUCACAAAGCAUAGAUACACCUAUGAGGAAUUAGAGCAGGAAAACACAAGAAUUGUGGAAGAGCAACCUGCUCAAGUAGAACGAGACCGAGCGUAGGUCAAGCAGGAUACGUCAACUACCUGAGAGAUAUGGAUUAUGCUCAUAACUCCUCAAGCGGUUGAAUGUAUUACUCAUCAGAUCAAGAUGAGCCUCGUGACUACCAAGAGGCCAAUAGAUGGUCCGAGUCUGAGAAGUGGCUAGAAGCCAUGAAUCUGAAAUGGAUCCCAUGUACACAAACCAAUUUGGGAACGCUUGGUAGAGCCUCCUGUAGGAGUUAACCCUAUAGGAAUGCAAGUGGGUCUUCAAAAAAGAAGACUGACAUGACGGUAAGGUAAAUACCUAUACAGGCAAGACUGGUUGCAAAAGGAUAAAUUAAACAAAUUCAUGGGAUUCGACUAUGGAUGAAACCUUUUCACCAGGUUGAAAAUGCUUAAAUUGUUCGGUUACUGUGGCUAUGCGUUGCAUAUCAUCGCCUUAUGAAAUAUGGCAGAUGGCUGUCAAAACCUGCUUCCUUAAUGGAAAUCCUUCCUUGAGGAGUGUACGAAUGACACAGCCUGUAAAGAUUUGACAUAGCCAGAGGAAGCCCAAAAGAUACUGUAAGUUACAAAAGAUCAACUCUAUUGGAUUGGAAGCAAGCUUCCAGAAGCUGGAAUCUUCGUUUUGAUGAAACAGUAAAACAAUAUGGAUUCAUCAAGAACGAAGAUGAGCCCUUGUGUCUAAAGAAGUUAGUGGGAGCAUGAUCGUUUCACUGGUAAUUAUAUGGUAGAUGACAUACUUACUCAUGUGGAAACGAUAUCCCUACCCUACAACAUAAAGUCCUUGGUUAGGGAAGUGCCUUUCUAUGAAGGACCUAGGUAAGCAGCCAAAUAUUAGGAAUCAGAAUCUAUAGAGAUUAGACGACAAAAACUGCUUGCUUAAGUCAGAGUACAUACAUAGACAAAGUGUGAGACGCCUUUAAUAUGCAUGAUUCCAAGAAAGGUUCAUACCUAUGCAACAUGUUCUGUGUCUACUCAAACACACAAUCCCCUUUAACUAAGGAAGAAAAGGAUCGCAUGAAUAAGAUUCCAUAUGCGAUCUGCAAAUAGGAUAUAUCACAAUGUAUGCAUGUUAUGGUACUCGACCAGAAUGUUCGUAUGCUUUGAGUGCAGAUCAGUAGGUACAUCGCUCCUGUGAUGCUCAUGGGUAGCAGUCAAGAAUAUACACCUUAAGUAUUUUAAGAAGGACUAAGGACUCAUCUUGAUAUAUGUGAGGUCAGGAAAGUUGGCUGUAUUGAUACACCGAUGCUAAUGCCUCCAGACAGAUAGGAUGACUUUAGAUCGCAAUCCUGGUUAUGUGUUUUGGUGAAAUGGUGGCGCUGUGAGCGUUUAAAAGUUCAAAGCAAGAUCAGUUGCUGAUUCUAACAUACCGAGGCGAGUAAUAUGCUGCCUCAAAUGCAGAAAAGGGAGUUGUUUGGGUCAAAAUCAAAAUUCAUUAGUUGAACUUGGCAUGAUUCCCUAGCAUUGUGGAUCCCAUUGGUCUCGUAUCAUGAUAACAGAUGGUGCUAGUCCGCACAAGCCAAGGAGCCUAGAUCUCACAAGAUCCAAACACAUACUUAGGCGUUAUCAAUCUCAUUCGAGAGAUAAUAGAAUAGAGGAGCAUGUGAAAAUUGCGCAGAGUACCUACAGAUUGACAAUAUUGCUGAUCCCACUGACAUAAGCCUUUGCGCAGGCAGAAGCAUGAUGGCCAUACAAGAAAUCUAUGGGUAUAUAAGGGUAUGCCUGAUUGCUUAGUGCUAGUGGGAGAUUGUUGGCUGAGCCUUAGAGGCCAAUUAUUUUUGGUACUUGUAUCGAAUUAUUUAUUAAUAAUAAAAGGCUUUUUCUUUAUUACGUUUGUUUAAUAAAGUCCCUAGAAUAGCUAGUCUGUUUAAUGUAUCAAGUAUGACUUAAUACAUGAGAUCACAUUAAACAUAAGGACUAUUUCUUAAAGUAUCCGUAGUCGAGCUUUAGUGUGAAGUGGGAUAACAUUGAAGCAUUAAGACUAUUAUGUUUGUAGACUGGAUGAUCACAUCUUCAUGGAUCAUGGAUAAGAGUUAUCAAGUCUCUUAAACAUAGGUAUGAAUAUUAAGAGUAAUAUUUGUACCGGAUUGACCCGCUAUGAGAAUACUAUAUAGAAAGUUAUGCAAGGUGUCAUAAGUUAUUUCUCAUGGUGAUAAUAGUGUAUUCCACUCUUCGACCUGAAACCACUAUGGAUCCUAGAUGUAGAGUCGAGUGCUUUAUUGCUUGAUCAACGUUGUCCGUAACUAGAUAACCAUAAAGACAGUUAAUGGUACUUCUCACAAAGCCAUGCUUGAGGACAUGAGGUGUCCUAGAUGGAAUUUGUCCAUCCUGCGUACAGGAUAAACAAUGUCUAUGGGCCAAAUUAUUGAAACGAGCUGAACAAGGAUGACACGGUUAUUGGUCUAAUGCUAUUGUGUUCAAAUUUUUGGAGUUUUGAUAUAGGAAACUAAUUGGAGGUGUUUAAUUGUCAAGAAGGAUGUAGAGAAUGUAUGGGGGAUUUUAGUUAUCAAACAAUAAAUAUAUGAUUUACAUCAGUCGCAGUUAAGACAAAGGAUAGAGGGCAAAAGGGUAAACAAAUUAUAUCACAUAAUUUUAUCACUAGAAAGGUUUUUGUCAGAUCAAUUCGACAUAUUUUCGUUCUUGGGUAACAGCAUGAUGUGUUGCAACCUAAGGGCUUCAGGAUGGUCGGAGCAGAGGUGUGGUUUGUUUAAUCUAUAUUUAUACAUGUGCGGUCGAAUCUUUAAUAGUAUGAUUUUUGCCCAAGCGUCAACGAAAAACCUAGCAGGGUGGCCCAGACAACACACAGGAACGGAUUGAUGAAAAGAAGAUAAGAAGUAAACUAAUGGAAUACCAGUAAGGUACGGUGCCAAAAAAGAUAUUAAGAACAUCGUAAGGUACGGUGUCCUGAGUAGAAUACCGAAAUAUGGUAAAGGUACCAUGACACAAGGCCCCCAGGAGCACACUAGUAUAAAAAAAAAAAUUUUUUUUUGGGCAUGUAUAAGAUAUGGGGCCAAAAUAAACACUAAGUGGCUUUUUUUUUUUAGCUUGAAGCCCACUACAAGUGGUUGCUAUAAAUAGAACCCUUGUGCAGAAGUAUAAGAAAUUGCUGGUUGCAUUAUUUUCGUUUUCUAUCACUCUUCUUCUCUCUCACUCAAAGCCUUCACAUCGUACAGCUAGCACUGAGAUUGAAGGACCCGUCGUGUGGACUGAGUACAGACCGUUGUCAUCGUCAACGUUCGUGAUCUGCUUCGUGGAUUUGCAUCAAAGGUUGUGAAUCGCACAAGAGACUGCAAACAAAGGUUUCAACCGUCACAAGAGGUAAAUAUUCUAUCACUGAUCAUGACCAUUCGUAAGGAUCUCUAAAGGAGAAAAUUUUAAUUUCCGCUGCGCUUUGGGUCGCAAUUCUCCUUCACACUGUUGGAUGGGAAAGGAAUGAUAUUGCAUAUUGUCCUUUCGCCCAUAAAAUUAGUGACAAGUGUGAUAUAUAGUACUGUCCUUGCCCAUGAAUUUAGGUAGUGGAAAGGAUGUUCGUUUUGUACCAUGUACUAUUUGAUCACGUUCCCAUUUUGAUCUUAUCUUCAAAUUCAUUGGCUUAUGAUGAAAGUUGAUGAAGCAUGAAAUGAAUAAACAUAAACCUGGAUUUAGAAACUUCAGAAUCUUUGGUCAGAACCUUGAUAGCAUCAGUAGUCUGGCUUGAGAUCUUCAGUAUCUUUAGAGUCUUCAGAAUCCUCAGUCAGAACCUUGAUAACUUCAAUCGUCUGACUUGAGAUCUUCAGAAUCUUCAACUAUAUAACACAACUUCAUAAGCUUGUCAUUCUUCAGAAGUUUAAUGAUCAGAGUCACAUCCAGAAGCAUGAAUUGAGAGAAUAUUGCAGCAGCAACAUAAUGUCUCCUCAGAAGCUUCUGAUGAGUGAGACAACACAAAAGCAGAAAGAACAUUGCAGCAACAAUAUUUAUGUCUUUCAGAACUUCUAAUAGCCAACAUAGAAGCGGAUUUGGAACACAUAGUUCAGAAACUAAUGACGUUGCACAUCAUAUAUUCAGAAUCAGAACUGAUUGUUAAAGUUAAAUAAUAACAAACCAUUAGGGUACCAAAAUUGUUCUCACACAAAUACAAUAUUGUUAUCAUCAAAACUCAAGGUAUAGAUGUAGAACCAAAUCUUGUUCUAACAGAUGUCACCCUUCAUAUGUCUUGAGCAUCUACUAACGAGAACCUGUAUUCUCUUCAUAUAGCCAAGACAUUUAUCCUACAAGAUCGCCAAGAAAUGCUAGGUACCCAAUCUUCAUUGGGUCUUUGAGAGUUAGUGAAAGUAUGGUUGCAUUUGGGCAACCAUUGAAAAAAAAUUUAGGAACAAAGAGUCUCCUAAAUUUGCAUUUCUCAAUGGUGUGACCUCUCUUGCAACAAUAGUGACAAGAUAAAUUGUGAUGAGAUGUUCUUUUGCUAUUUGAAUCCUUUUGAAUAUAUCUAUACUUUUUAUGUGGAUGGUUCAAAGACCUUUUAAAUUUUGAGGGGUCAAUAGCAAAUAUAACAUUUGGUUGUAAUGCCUUGUCCAAUUUAGUUUUAAGAGUAUUAACCUCUUUUUGCCAAAUGUGACAAGUUUCACAACUGAAACAUGAAGGUUUUUCAUCCUCAUUCUUAUCCUUUUGAAUAUCUACCAUAGAUUGUUUAAGAGCUUCCAUUUUCUUUUUAGUUUCUAAAACUUUAGCUUCUGAGUGUGAAAAGAUUCUUUUGUUUAAAGCUAACUUUUUAAAAACGCACACGCCUUUUCUAUGUAGAUUUUCAAAAGCAUUUUAUAAUUGAGAAUAAGAUAUUAUAUUAAUAGAUUCGUGUUUAGAACGACUUACAUUCUUCUUCUUCUUUUGAUUGUCCAUGAAGCAAAUAUUUGUCGAUUCGUCACUACUACUUGAGCUUUCAUCACUUGAGGAUUCACUUUCCCUCUCCCAAGGAACGUAUGCUCUUAUGGACUUGCUAGACUUCUUGUAAUGGCCUUUCUCUUUGUCUGACUUAUAAUGACCGACUUUUCCACAACUGUAGCAUGAACCUCUAUGUUUACCCUUCUUAUUCUCACAUUCCUUUGAGGAGUUCGAUAGUCUUAUAAAGUUAAUUAGGUUCUUAUCAGAGUGCUUGACUCCAUUUUUCUCCAUGUACCUAUGGUACAUUUUGACGAACAACCUCAUUUCUUCAUCAUUAGAAUUCUCGUCAUUACUUGUUUCACAAUCACUUUGCUCAUUGGUUGAGGAUUUUAAACUUGAAGCCUUUAGAGAAAUAAACUUCUUUUUUACCUCUUUGUCCUUGUCUUUCUCCUUCUUUAUCUUCUUCUCGUUCUUUUUCUUAUGUUUUUCCAAGCAAAUGAGUUCUUACUCAUGUUCUUGUAGUUUGGGAAAUAAAGUUGUGAGGUCAAGUUUUCUAAGAUCAUUCGCUUCUUUGAUUGCGGUGACCUUAGGUUGUCAUUCCCUAUUAAGACACCUCAAAACUUUAUUAGUAGCAAUAUCAUUGGAAAUAUGCUUACCUAGAGCAUUCAAAUGAUUUAUAAGAUGUGUGAACCUCUUUUGCAUGUCAGCAAUGGUUUCACCAUGCUUCAUGCGAAAUAGUUCAAACUCUUUAGUUAAGGUAUUGAUCCUUGCUUGUUUGACUUCAUUAAUUCUCUCAUGGGUAACUUCUAAUGCAUCCCACAUAGCUUUGACAUUUUCAUAAUGGGAAACACGAUAAUAUUCAUCAACGCCAAGUGCGGGUAUGAGAAUAUUUUGUGCCCAAUCCAAAACUCUGUUCACUCAGACGGACGGACAUGUGUACGAUCACUCGGAGAUUCUGCAUUAAAGAUAGACACCACAAAUACCUCAACCAUUUGAAUCUAUUCAACUGGCUGUUAUAAUUAUCAUAUAUAUAUAUAUAAGUGUGACAUCAUGUCACAUUAAAGUACGAUUCAAUAUACUUUUACAAAUUAACACUACUUUGAUUUCACCGUCUUAUAAGUUUAAAUACUAACAUUGUAGAUACACAUUUUCCUAAUGACUCCAACCGCGACACUAAAAGUGUAAACUUCACCAUCACAUCAUUUUUUUUUCAAAAGAAAUAAAAGAGUUUUGAUUCCUACUUUGCAAUCCUUGCUCGAUGAAGUAACCAACCAAGGGAUUAAUGAUGACCCCACUUUAUCCCAAAGUCUCCAAUGUGGCAUGAUGUGAUUGAGUAACCAGCACAUCCACGAAAACGCAAUCCAAACCUAAUCUAUUCACAAGUAUUCAAUUUUUUCGUAGAAGUCAAUAAUAAUAAUAAUAAUAAUUGGAACACAAAAACUACCAUCACCACUAAGAUUCCUCACAUAUCUAUUCAGACCUCUUAGCAUUGCCAACACCGAAAUCACAUACUAGAAUGGCAACAACAACCUUUGCAACCGUCGUAGGAAUGGGUGGUGCAUCACGUCUCACCUCAGGUAUAUCUGUCAUUAAUUAAAACAUAAUUAAGCAUGUACCAUUUUUUUAUAUAUGUUUGUAUUUAUUUUAAUUGUGAUUUUCUUCCAGGAUUUGGGAAACCACAAGUAACUGCUAGGAAUCCUUUGAGGCAAGCUAUGGCGGUAGGAAAUGGUGGAAGAGUGACAUGGUAAUUUUUAUUAUAAGAUUGAUUUGUAAGGUUUUUAAACUGAAUUAUUUGAUCUCUAUGAAUAUUUAUUUUGAUGAUGAAAAAAAUGAAUUGUGAUAUUUUUUGUGGAUUGUGAUGUGAAGCUUCCAGAGGGAUUGGCUACGGAGGGAUUUCAAUGUGAUUGGGUUUGGGUUGAUAGGUUGGUUGGCACCGUCUAGCAUCCCGGCUAUUGACGGUAAAAGUCUGACUGGACUUUUCUUUGAUAGUAUUGGAACUGAACUUGCUCACUUCCCUACACCUCCAGCUCUUACUUCACAGUUUUGGUUAGUCAUUUCUUUCACAUAUUUUUGUAUUUAAUUCACUUGAUUCUCUGCUAUAUGCAAUCAUAGUUUCAAAUGAAAGUGGAAACAUAGAUGAGAAGUGAAGUAAUGAACAGGAAGGAAUUAGUUGGAGAUCUUCUAUACUUGUCCUUAGGUAUCCAACGGAUCAGGGACGGUUUUUAGUUCCCAUCCAAACCUGAAUUUCAAAAUAAUCUUCAACUCCCCAUUUUAUAAUUGAGAAAAACUCAAACUUUAACCUAAUUCAAUGAAAAUGGAUUUUUUUCAUAAAUUCGGGAUGGGACGGGAUAGGAUGGGUAUCCGGGAGAGUAUGAUUAUAUUGUCUUGCGUAUUAAAUCCUUAAAUCCAUUCAAAUUGAUUAGCUCAUGAGUCAUUUAGAAAAAUACUGAUAAAUAUAAAGCUUAAACCUUAUAAUAAAGAGCCCAAAUUUUAAAAGGUUAUUUCAGUCUGAUCUUAAAUAGCUCGUUAUCCAUUCAGGUCAGUAACAUGUAGCUAGCUCGUUUGAUUUGCAAACUAAAACUUAUAUUAUUAUUUAUGGCUGUUUCACAUUUCUUAAAAUUUUUAUUUUUUAAGAUAAUUAAGUUUUUCACAAAACUUCUUAAAUAAUUAUAUUUUUCUAUUAAUUUGAAGUAUUUAUUUUUUAAAUAAAAAAGAUUUACAACACAAAAUACAUAUUUAAUGACGACUACAUUAAAUAAAUAAAAAACAUAGUCAAUUGAAUUAACGGGUUAUUUGACGCAUUUGUACAAGAAAUAGGAAGGGUCGCCAAUUAAAUCAGUGACUAUGUGUUGAGUAUUUUUUUUAUUUUAAUCUAAUUAAUUAAUAAAUAAGUUUAAUAAAAACUAAUAAUAUUUAAAUUUAAAUCGAAUUAUACGAUAGUAUUGAGGAUAAAAUAUUUAAUGAAAAAACCAACUUAGCCAAUUUAAUAUACUAGGAACAUUUAGAAAAAUCAUCAAUGUCUUGGCUCAAUCAACUAGGUCACUCACUAAUAACUCCAUCAAUCCAAACAACAUAAUUCAACUAAUAACUCGUCAAUAGACACAAGACUACAUAAAAUUACAAGAAUUUAUUAGAUAAUUUGAUGAUAGGAUGUUCAGUGCAUAUUGAAAUGGUUAAGUUGCUUUUUCCAUUGAUUCGUCUUACCCUUAGUAAGUACACUCAAUAACAUGUAGAUGAUCUUUAAUGUUCUAGUACAUUCACCGAUUGGAAUAUAUAUUUAUAUGUUAAAUAUAUAUACAUUAAUAUUAUCAAAAUAAAUUUAAUUAUUUUAUGUUAGAAUUUAAAUUUUAAUGAAAAAAGUUAAUAAAGAGUUAGGUUCACAAUGAUAAAAAAAAAAUGAGUUCAAACUCUAUAAGUUCAUAUAUGCCAGCUUUAUAAGUCCGUCAUUAGCCUAAUAAAAAAGAAUCACAUCAUAGUUCAUUUCGUCUUUUUUUAUAGAUUUUUAAGUUUAGUUUGUUAAUAAAUAUUAAAAGGUGCUUAAUUUAAUUUUAAAUAAUUAAAUAGCAAGCAAGAUCUUUAAUGAUAAGGAUCAAAAAAAUUUAAAAGAAAAUUUUAAAAAAAAUAAAAAAAGUUAAAAAUUUUAGGUCCCACCGAGAAUUGAACUCGGGUUACUAGAUUCAGAGUCUAAUGUCCUAACCGCUAGACCAUGGGACCAGUUGAUGAUAGAGAGUUACGACGUGUUGUAUAUAAAUAUUCCGUAAAAUUAUAUUUUGUAUUUGAAUUUGAAUAUAUUUUUCGUUCUAAGACAUAAUAAAGCAAACAUGUUGAACAGGUUAUGGUUGAUCUGUUGGCACUUGGGGCUGUUCAUCUCCCUCACUUUCGGUCAAAUUGGUUUCAAGGGAAGGACUGAGGAGUACUUUGAUUCAUAAUAACUUAUGGUCUGUUAUUAAUUGCUUUUCCUUUUAUAUUAUUUUCUGCCUUGUAAUCUACCAUCUGUAACUCUGGUACCUUUUCCAUUGCACUAGAAAAAAUCGGUGUAAUAUCGCUUUCAUAAUGAAUCAAUGUAUAUUAGUAUUAUGGUUGUAUCUUGUGUGUAUUAGUUGCUUAUCAACGUCCCAAUUUUAGUUUUGCAAUUUUCCUAAAGGAUAAUCAUGAUUAUUAAGCCGGAAUAACUUUUUUUUUAAUGAAAUCUUAUCUAUUUAAUAUUUUACAAAACAAUAACAUUUCGUAAUUUAUAA
This 22637-nucleotide long non-coding RNA is filed under the name Lathyrus oleraceus (garden pea). RNAcentral's name for it is "Pisum sativum (pea) long non-coding RNA (PSAT_LNC030940)". The record is from RNAcentral. Lineage: Eukaryota; Viridiplantae; Streptophyta; Magnoliopsida; Fabales; Fabaceae.